Long non-coding RNA from Prunus persica (peach), 1324 nucleotides. RefSeq lists it as uncharacterized. Lineage: Eukaryota; Viridiplantae; Streptophyta; Magnoliopsida; Rosales; Rosaceae. The transcript has 4 exons. The record is from RefSeq and is a predicted model, not a curated record.
AUCCAACGACUCUGUGAAAAGCAAUUAUAAAUGAAACAGUUGUACUAGGUUGUACUAGAAUGAGUCCCUCAACUUGUUCUCUCUCCUCCCUCGUUCCUAAACAGCUGUUCAACUUUUUCACGCUCCCUUUCUUCUUUCUCUGCCCUCUCAGUUUCUCUUCUUUCAAACUCCUUUUCUGUAUUUCUCUCUCAGUUUCUUUGCAUCGAUCUCCCUCCUCCUCCUCCUCAUCUCUUUCUCUCUUCCCUUUCCCUAACAAUUCAAAAAUCGAGGCCCAAAAGCCCUAUUUACUACUCUCAUUUGAUAUCUCUUUCAUUUUCCUCUUCGUUGUGUCCCUCUCUUUUCGUGGUGGUGGAGGAAAAGGUAGUAAUCUCGCAAAGUCAUACUGGUGCUCAAAGAUUGGAUUUUUACUGCUACCCAUCUGGCCUUUUUUAAAAUUGUAAUUGGCUUUGAGAUUGGACAAAGGUUGGCUUUCGUGAUUCUGUAGAGUGCAGGGAAAAGUUUGGAGAAGUUGAUGGAGGAGUGUUGAGAGAGAGCAGAUACUUGUGAAUUAAUUGCAGGAAAGCAUUCAAAGUCUUGAAAGGCAGUCCUCACCAGUGGAAGAAUUGUCCCAGAUUUUGAAAAGAGCAAAUAAUUUCUUGCAUUUUGUGUUGCAGAAUGCACGACCUCACUGAUCACUUUUUAAUUUUUGUUGAUAAUUUUCUGUUUUAGGAUAAAGAAUUGCUGUAUCUGUUUAUCUAUAAUCACUUCCCAAGUUUGCAAGAGUAGGUAAUUAAUUGCCACUGAAGUUCUUAUUCAAGGUUUGGUAGGAUUGCUGUAUAACUUCAAUGUAAUUUAAAGGGAGGUAAUUACUGCCUUGCUUAAGUGACACUCUGACACUAAACCACCUUAAUUAUAUUAUGUUCUUUCUUCUUGCCAGCACAUUAUAGGAAGAACAGAUGUUGAGAUUUUUACCGGGCCGGCGUUAAGGAAUCUCAAGACUUCAAGGAGGUUCUGGAAAAACAGGUUACCUGCAAAAUACAUGGGGAUGGAUGUCACUGAUCAGGCGAGGAAAAGAAAAAAGAUCGCAAAGCUUAGUGAGGAAAUUGCCGUCCAAAAAGCCAAGGAACUUAUAGUAAUUUUACGUAUAUUUUUAUAAUUUUUAAAAAUUAUAAAUUUUACAAGUAAUGCAAUAAAAUAAUAGCCAAAUGACACAAGUUAGAAUCUCAAUGCUGUAGUAUCACUUGUUUGCCACCAAAAUAUGUUUCGUAAAAGCUUUAAAAGGAUUCACUAGAGCUUCAACAUCGCUUCAUUUACUAUUCAAUAAAGCUUCAAAAUAUUAUUUUUA